Rhagoletis zephyria (snowberry fruit fly) is the source of this 490-nucleotide long non-coding RNA. RefSeq lists it as uncharacterized. The record is from RefSeq and is a predicted model, not a curated record. NCBI's taxonomy places the organism in Eukaryota, Metazoa, Arthropoda, Insecta, Diptera, Tephritidae.
AUCCCUAAUUUCGGUACACUGCUUACUAUUUAUUUAUUAAGCACAUUAUUUUCCCGUUGUGAUCGUUGUCUAAAAAUAGUGUUUGUAUUGUAGCAAAGGAACGAUAUGUGGAAGUAAAUCUAUUAAACUUACACUUUCGCUUUCAACACCUCAAUUUCUUGCAUGGUGCUGUCAUAAAAGGAGAAGUCGCGAGGUGGUGAUGUCGCGGCAUUUAUAUAAAGAGGGCAAUUUUCCUGGUUCUCAUCUGUAAUUUACUUGGUUCAAAUUGCGUCAGUGCCAUGUUGGUGUGGGUGCCUAGUCAUUUUUUCUGUUUCAAGUUGUAAGCCACCACUCUUGGUCAUCGUGGGGUCUUCGCUGGGCCUGCCUGUGUGGAUAUACGCUUACGACAAAGACGAACUAGAACUUGCUAAAGUUGAUUGUACAACCUGGCCCCUGAGGUUAAUAAGAUACCUGGCCAACUUUUUAAUGUCUGACGACAUUGCUAAUUAAA